RNAcentral lists this ribosomal RNA (439 nucleotides) under uncultured bacterium. RNAcentral describes it as "partial 16S ribosomal RNA". It matches the Rfam family "Bacterial small subunit ribosomal RNA", at positions 339 to 795 of the family's 1533-position model. The record is from RNAcentral.
CUACGGGAGGCUGCAGUGGGGAAUUUUGCGCAAUGGGGGCAACCCUGACGCAGCAAUACCGCGUGAGUGAAGAAGGCCUUUGGGUCGUAAAGCUCUUUUCUAAGGGAAGAUAGUGACGGUACCUUAGGAAUAAGCACCGGCUAACUCCGUGCCAGCAGCCGCGGUAAUACGGAGGGUGCGAGCGUUGUUCGGAUUUACUGGGCGUAAAGGGCACGUAGGCGGCCUAGCAAGUUAAGGGUGAAAUCCCGGGGCUCAACUCCGGAACUGCUCUUAAAACUGCUAAGCUAGAGAUAGUCAGAGGCGGGUGGAAUUCCAGGUGUAGAGGUGAAAUUCGUAGAUAUCUGGAGGAACACCGGUGGCGAAGGCGGCCCGCUGGGGCUAUUCUGACGCUGAGGUGCGAAAGCGUGGGGAGCGAACGGGAUUAGAUACCCGUGUAGUC